GAUGAAGAACGUAGCGAAAUGCGAUAAGUAAUGUGAAUUGCAGAAUUCAGUGAAUCAUCGAAUCUUUGAACACACAUUGCGCCCGCCAGUAUUCUGGCGGGCAUGCCUGUUCGAGCGUCAUUUCAACCAUCAAGCCCCCGGCUUGUGUUGGGGACCUGCGGCUGCCGCAGGCCCUGAAAACCAGUGGCGGGCUCGCUAGUCACUCCGAGCGUAGUAAUACAUCUCGCUCAGGGCGUGCUGCGGGUUCCGGCCGUUAAAAGCCUUAUUUACCCAAGGUUGACCUCGGAUCAGGUAGGAAGACCCGCUGAACUUAAGCAUAUCAAUAAGCGGAGGA
Molecule: unclassified non-coding RNA, 334 nt
Filed under: soil metagenome
Description: partial contains 5.8S ribosomal RNA, internal transcribed spacer 2, and large subunit ribosomal RNA
Rfam family: 5.8S ribosomal RNA (bases 1-120)
Source: RNAcentral